This is a long non-coding RNA of Portunus trituberculatus (swimming crab), 183 nucleotides long. RefSeq lists it as uncharacterized. NCBI's taxonomy places the organism in Eukaryota, Metazoa, Arthropoda, Malacostraca, Decapoda, Portunidae. The transcript has 2 exons. The record is from RefSeq and is a predicted model, not a curated record.
UCUCUCUCUCUCUCUCUCUUGUUCACCUGUGGCUUCCUGUAAUCAUAGUUUCCUGAAUUCGCAGGUUAGUUUUUGUUGUUUUUGUUUUGUCUGCCUGACGCGUCACACACACACACACACACACACACACACACACACACACACACACACACACACACACACACACACACACACACACACACA